RNAcentral lists this ribosomal RNA (440 nucleotides) under uncultured bacterium. Its description in RNAcentral is "partial 16S ribosomal RNA". It matches the Rfam family "Bacterial small subunit ribosomal RNA", at positions 338 to 795 of the family's 1533-position model. The record is from RNAcentral.
CCUACGGGGGGCAGCAGUGGGGAAUAUUGCACAAUGGGGGGAACCCUGAUGCAGCAAUGCCGCGUGGGUGAAGAAGGAUUUCGGUGUGUAAAGCCCUGUCAGUAGGGAAGAAAAUGACAGUACCUGUACAAGAAGCCCCGGCUAACUACGUGCCAGCAGCCGCGGUAAUACGUAGGGGGCAAGCGUUAUCCGGAUUUACUGGGUGUAAAGGGAGCGCAGGCGGCGUGGCAAGUCAGAUGUGAAAACCCGGGGCUCAACCCCGGGAGUGCAUUUGAUACUGAGAUGCUAGAGUGCCGGAGAGGUAAGCGGAAUUCCUGGUGUAGCGGUGAAAUGCGUAGAUAUUAGGAGGAACACCAGUGGCGAAGGCGGCUUACUGGACGGUAACUGACGCUGAGGCUCGAAAGCGUGGGGAGCAAACAGGAUUAGAUACCCUUGUAGUC